RNAcentral lists this ribosomal RNA (175 nucleotides) under Acheilognathus tonkinensis. RNAcentral describes it as "partial 12S rRNA". The record is from RNAcentral. Lineage: Eukaryota; Metazoa; Chordata; Actinopteri; Cypriniformes; Acheilognathidae.
CACCGCGGUUAAACGAGAGGCCCCAGUUAAUAAUAUUACGGCGUAAAGGGUGGUUAUGGGAUAUAAUAAAUAAAGCUAAAUAGCCCCCCGGCCGUCAUACGCUUCCGGGAGCUAGAAACCCAAUUCCGCGAAAGUGGCUUUAACAAAUCUACCUGACCCCACGAAAGCUGAGGGA